Molecule: long non-coding RNA, 317 nt
Filed under: Brassica napus (rape)
Lineage: Eukaryota; Viridiplantae; Streptophyta; Magnoliopsida; Brassicales; Brassicaceae
Description: long non-coding RNA (BNAP_LNC024662)
Source: RNAcentral
CAAAAUAUAAGUUUAUCCUUUGAAAAUUUUAAUUUUUUUAUUUUUCAAAAUUUGAAAUCUUAUCCCCAAAACCUCAUUUCUCAACUCUAAACCCUAAACCUUAAACUCUAAACCCUAAACCCUAAACCCUAAACCCUAAACCCUAAACUCUAAACCCUAAACCCUAAACUCUAAACCCUAAACACUAAACCCUAAACCCUAAACCCUAAACUCUAAACCCUAAACCCUAAACCCUAAACCCUAAACUCUAAACCUUAAACCCUAAAUCCUAAACCCCACCCUUUAACUCUAAACCCUAAGUUUUUGACUUUUGAUAA